This 76-nucleotide transfer RNA is filed under the name Ceraesignum maximum. RNAcentral describes it as "tRNA-Thr". It matches the Rfam family "tRNA". From Rfam's summary of the family: Transfer RNA (tRNA) molecules are approximately 80 nucleotides in length. The record is from RNAcentral. Lineage: Eukaryota; Metazoa; Mollusca; Gastropoda; Littorinimorpha; Vermetidae.
UGUAGCAUAGCUUAAUCUACCUAAAGCGUUGGUCUUGUAAACCGAAGAUGAGGACUAAAUUACGCCUCUGCUACAA